This 391-nucleotide unclassified non-coding RNA is filed under the name soil metagenome. RNAcentral's name for it is "partial contains 5.8S ribosomal RNA, internal transcribed spacer 2, and large subunit ribosomal RNA". The stretch from base 1 to 122 matches the Rfam family "5.8S ribosomal RNA", at positions 35 to 154 of the family's 154-position model. The record is from RNAcentral.
GAUGAAGAACGUAGCGAAAUGCGAUACUUGGUGUGAAUUGCAGAAUCCCGUGAACCAUCGAGUCUUUGAACGCAAGUUGCGCCCGAAGCCAUUAGGCCGAGGGCACGCCUGCCUGGGCGUCACACGUCGUUGCCCCCCCAUCUACUCCUUCGGGAUUGCGGGGGGCGGAUGAUGGCCUCCCGUGCGCCUCGCCGCGCGGUUGGCAUAAAUGCCAAGUCCUCGGCGACGCACGCCACGACAAUCGGUGGUUGCGAAACCUCGGUUGCACGUCGUGUGCGGUCGUCGCGCAUCGAGGGCUCGAAAAAAUUGCCGGGUUCCGGCUCGGCUUUCAACGCGACCCCAGGUCAGGCGGGGUUACCCGCUGAAUUUAAGCAUAUCAAUAAGCGGAGGA